Molecule: ribosomal RNA, 484 nt
Filed under: uncultured bacterium
Lineage: Bacteria
Description: bacterial SSU rRNA
Rfam family: Bacterial small subunit ribosomal RNA
Source: RNAcentral
GGACGAACGCUGGCGGCGUGCAUAACACAUGCAAGUCGAACGAAGCAUUUAAAGCGGAGACUUCGGUCAAAGCUUUUUAUGACUUAGUGGCGGACGGGCGAGUAACGCGUGAGCAACCUGCCUCUCAGUGGGGAAUAACGUUUGGAAACGAACGCUAAUACCGCAUAACGUAGCGAAGUCGCAUGGCUUUGUUACCAAAGGAUUUAUUCGCUGAGAGAUGGGCUCGCGUCCGAUUAGCUAGUUGGUGGGGUAAUGGCCUACCAAGGCGACGAUCAGUAGCCGACCUGAGAGGGUGAUCGGCCACAUUGGAACUGAGACACGGUCCAAACUCCUACGGGAGGCAGCAGUGGGGAAUAUUGCACAAUGGGCGAAAGCCUGAUGCAGCAACGCCGCGUGAAGGAAGAAGGCUUUCGGGUUGUAAACUUCUUUUGUCAGGGAAGAGUAGAAGACUGUACCUGGCGAAUAAGCCACGGCUAACUACGUG